AUCUAUCUAGACCAUUCGUCUGGCGGCCGAGCUCCUCCUCCGCCGAGCUCCUCCUCUGCCCGCUCAAGCCUGGCGCGUCCUCGUCCUGGAGCGCGCCGCCGCCGCCGCACCAGCCUCGCACGCACCCUGCCCCCGGCUGAUGCCCGCCCGUUUUUCCCGACGCCUGCGUCAGCUGCCGCCCCUCACCUCCACCUGAGCCGCACCCUGCUCCCGCCCGGCUCGCCCUCGACGGUGCCCGCGGCGCGCCGGCGGCGGCCUCUGCUCCAACCCCAUGGUGCCGAGGCCGAGCCCGCUCGCUCCGCCUCGCCCUUGCCCCCCGCUUGCUGCUCCUCUCCCUGUGGCGACGGCCAUCAUGCUCCGGCCACCUCCCCCGCGGAACCCCGGCCCCCAGCGACGGCGGACCGGUGGGUUGCAGCCGCGCCGGGCUCCACCACGCUUGGCGCCGUCUUCCCGGCUGCUUGCAACUUCAACGCGAUGGAGGCGCUAAGUAAGAUCUCCUUGUCUCCCUCUGCCAGCCUCGCUGCCCAACGGAAGGUGAGCGCACAAGUAGCUCACACAGCAGCUCCAGCUACGGCUCCUGUUCCUGCGCCAUCCCUCCAAGGCCGCAGCGGCCGUAGCUGAGGUUGCCUCCACUGCCUGCAACGUGCUCGACAAAAUGCCCAACCUAUUCUAACGUAUUUUACAGUGGCAUCUGAUAAUCACAAAUGUGCUGGCACUGCACUUCGUAAAUUACAAGCUCCCAUACAUAUAAUAUAGCAACUCUAAUUUAAGCGUAGCGUACCUAUCAUUCAUCACCGUUGGUAUUGGGUACUACUCCCAUGAGAUUCUGGCCCUUCAUGAAGAUAACUUUCUUCUUCUAUCCCUGUCCUGCAAAUAACGUCAACAAAAAAUUAUUUUUGCAAGGCUGGUGUAAGAGAUGGAAUUGUUUAUACUAACUCGUUGAUAGGUAUAUAUUAAAAGAAAAGGGGCAGUUAUUUUGAGAUUUCCUAGGGUAACCACCAGACCAUAUAUGAGCAUGUUCUGCUUCCUCUAUAUGGCCAUUCAUGUUAUGCUAGCAUAUUUCCUCUAAUCACACUAGCCACUCAUAUAUGUUCCAAUGCAUAAGCAGUGUGAACAGCCACGCUGAUAAUUUUUCUGGGCUUCUAUCCUAGAGGUAAUGAUGUUCCUAUUAAUUGCUUAGCUCAGUUUUUUCAUGUGUCAUGUUGCAAUGAAGCUCUGUUCAUCUUGACAGAACAUCGACUUGAAAUCAUGCUUGGUUUUACUUUUCAUUGUAGAAGAACAGAGGGUAGAGUCUAUACGAUUGAAAUGUGCUUUCUGGAAUGAACCAAGAGAAAGUGAGAAACUAUUGCUGAUCAUAUUGCAAUAAACCAAGAGUAAUCAUUCAUGGUUUUACUUUUCACUAUAGAAGGACAGAAAUUCUGUGUCUAGCUUCGCUCGCGCUAAUGGAUGUGCCGUGCCUCCGCGUGUGCCGGCGGUCGCGCAUCGGCUCCGCAUCAUCUGGGUUCCGUGACUACGUUCUUCCGCUCGCCGUGGGGAAACAACGUGAGCAGUGGCGUGGGGCUCGUCGCCGCCUGCCCCAUCGCCUCUGCGGCUGUUGAGGCGCAACAGAAGCUCCCUCCAGUCCACUUCACCGGCAGCUGAGCCAAAGGCAGAGAACAUCACAUUGGGCCAAGAGGUGCUUGGGUGCUGCUGCAAGGCUGCGGCUGCGAGCGCAGGCAAGGCCCAAAGCUGUGCUAUGGCUCCAGGCCAAUGUUCUGCUCCACCUCCUUGGCUGCCUCUGCCACUAAAUCAUCGUGGCCACGGCCCAUGGAGCCACGCGAGCUGCAGAUCGAUGCGACGGUAGUGCCAAGAAAGAGCUCCUACAGUUAAGUGACGGGGUGAGCUUUACGAGCAGCUCGCAUGACUGCAAGUCCACAUUGUGGUGCGAGCACCAGCGGCCACCCUGGAAGUGGCGCAGCGCCAUGGUAAAUCUUGGUGGUGGGAAAGGCAGUGGUGGCGAUUCCCGUCCGUGGAAGCAACGGUGGCCUGGCGAGUGGCGACCCUGGCGGCGCGGCGGCGUCACGGUGGAUCUGCAGCAACUUGGGCACUACCUCCCAUUCUCCUCGCAACGGUCGCCAUGGGGCGCGGCGGAGCCAGAACUUCCCAGCCGGUCCGUGGUGGACCUCAUCCAUCCUGUGGCUGCAAGUCGUCUAGCUAUGAUUAACUACGGGUGUGAUGCUGCUGCACUCUGUGCUUGUGUAAAUGCCCCAACGAAUUUAAAGACCCGCGCAGGCUGAGCAUCACACCCUCUGUUCGUUUUUCUGUGGUUUGUGCAGAUCAGCAGAGGGAGCAAGAAAAUGGUCCAAAUUGAAACUACAGAUGAGAAUAUGAGAUUGAGAUGCUGUGUCAUGCAGGUCUGAGCUUUCCUAUUCAUCCUGCAGGUCUUUUUUUCUCAGAUGCUCAUGACUGCAGUUCUGAUAAAAAUCUUUAGCGUUUUCUUAUUGUGAAGAAUCUGAUUUGCUAGCGACAUGUGCUUAUUGGAUUUCACAAUGGAGAAAAAAAACAUUUCUUUUACAGGUUCUUGAUCUUGCAUGUCAUAGCAGCUGCUAGCAAGGUGUCAGUCUCUGUUUUUCUCUGUUUCUGUUGUGGAGCCUUAAAUUCCUUUGAUUUUUCAGACUUGUAGGAUGAAUAGGCGGAUACAACCAACAGGAGCUUGGGGUUAUCUACCACUAGUACCGCCAAUUAGCUACUGAAAUGUUUUCUUGGAGUACAUAUUCCUACAGAUUUCUCGGUAUUAAGAAAGAUCUGCAGAUUCUUAUAUUAUUUACUGCACCAUCCCUCCAGUGGCCAUAGUCGACGUUACCUCCACUGCCAACAAGGUGUUCGACAAAAUGCCAAGCUCCCAGGCGUAUAGCAUAUUUAAUUUAUAAAGGGACCUAUUUUUCUUCUAUUCCUAUCCUGCAAAUGGCGUCAACAAAAUUUCAUUUUUCAAUCCUUGUGUUAUAGAUUGAUUUCUGGCUUGUUGAGUUAUAUAUGAUACAUAAAGAACAGAAAUGUAAACUAAUUUUGAGAUUUACUUGGGUAACCACUAAGCCAAGAUAUGAGCAUGAUCUGGUUCCUCUGCC
This is an RNA transcript of Panicum virgatum (switchgrass), 3104 nucleotides long. RefSeq lists it as uncharacterized. The transcript has 3 exons. NCBI's taxonomy places the organism in Eukaryota, Viridiplantae, Streptophyta, Magnoliopsida, Poales, Poaceae. The record is from RefSeq and is a predicted model, not a curated record.